GACGAACGCUGGCGGCGUGCUUAACACAUGCAAGUCGAACGAGAAUCUGCGGAAAGAGGAUUCGUCCAAUAGAAGCAGAGGACAGUGGCGGACGGGUGAGUAACGCGUGAGGAACCUGCCUUUCAGAGGGGGACAACAGUUGGAAACGACUGCUAAUACCGCAUGACACAUUGAGGUCGCAUGGCCUUAAUGUCAAAGAUUUAUCGCUGAAAGAUGGCCUCUAUUUAUAAGCUAUCGCUAAAGGAUGGGCCUGCGUCUGAUUAGCUAGUUGGUGGGGUAACGGCCUACCAAGGCGAUGAUCAGUAGCCGGUCUGAGAGGAUGAACGGCCACAUUGGGACUGAGACACGGCCCAGACUCCUACGGGAGGCAGCAGUGGGGAAUCUUCCGCAAUGGGCGAAAGCCUGACGGAGCAAUGCCGCGUGAGUGAUGAAGGAAUUCGUCGUAAAGCUCUUUGUUUAUGACGAAUG
Molecule: ribosomal RNA, 468 nt
Filed under: uncultured bacterium
Lineage: Bacteria
Description: bacterial SSU rRNA
Rfam family: Bacterial small subunit ribosomal RNA
Source: RNAcentral